Non-coding RNA from Larimichthys crocea (large yellow croaker), 54 nucleotides. The record is from Rfam. Lineage: Eukaryota; Metazoa; Chordata; Actinopteri; Sciaenidae.
UUUCCCUUUUUUUGUGAGUUGCUUUGGAUAAAAGCAUCUGCUAAAUGACUAAAU